AUUGAACGCUGGCGGCAUGCUUUACACAUGCAAGUCGAACGGCAGCGCGGGCUUCGGCCUGGCGGCGAGUGGCGAACGGGUGAGUAAUGCAUCUGAACGGGCCCAGUAGUGGGGGAUAGCCCGGCGAAAGCCGGAUUAAUACCGCAUACGACCUGAGGGUGAAAGCGGGGGACCGAAAGGCCUCGCGCUAUUGGAGCGGCCGAUGUCGGAUUAGCUAGUUGGUGGGGUAAAGGCUUACCAAGGCGACGAUCCGUAGCUGGUCUGAGAGGGCGACCAGCCACACUGGGAGUGAGCCACGGCCCAGACUCCUACGGGAGGCAGCAGUGGGGAAUUUUGGACAAUGGGGGCAACCCUGAUCCAGCCAUGCAGCGUGCGGGAAGAAGGCCUUCGGGUUGUAAACCGCUUUUGUUCGGGAAGAAAUCCUCUGGGCUAAUACCCCGGGGGGAUGACGGUACCGGAAGAAUAAGCACCGGCUAACUACGUG
RNAcentral lists this ribosomal RNA (484 nucleotides) under uncultured bacterium. RNAcentral's name for it is "partial 16S ribosomal RNA". It matches the Rfam family "Bacterial small subunit ribosomal RNA", at positions 28 to 507 of the family's 1533-position model. The record is from RNAcentral.